CCCAAUGGGUAGACAUUUUCUACAUGAGAUGAGGAGGAAGAAGUGUGUGGUGGUCAAGAGAAGAGCAAACACAAAGGCCAAGUGCUAAGAAUGGGGUACCUUCAGGAGACAAAGUAGGGGCUCUCCUGGGCCAAGACAGCACAGGAGAACACAGUGGUGCAUCGCUGAAUGACAGCCUAGCAAGAAGAAAGCCAGGAUGACACGCUGCCCUGAACCACACAAGAUAACCGUAGCCUCGGAUCUCAAUAUGCAUGUGUGUUCAACAAGGAUGUACUUCUCUCAACAGUAGCUUGUCUUUGCCUGUCCACUGAACCAAAACCAUGUUUUAAAAACUAACAUCAGUGUCAAAAACCUCAACCCUUUAGAGCCCACUUUAUUAAAGUCACAGGCUCUGCUUUAUCAGUCUAAUCCAUCCCUGUAGUCACCAAGAUUUAAUGGAAAGUAAAAAAUAAGCAAGAGGGGAAUGAGUUUUGCUCCACCACAUGUUGGAACGUUGAGAUCUCUUACUAUCUUCUCUGAUAGGGAAGUUACCAUUGGGAUUUCUUUCAUGAAUAGCAGAAGAAAGAUGGGUUUAAUAUGUUUUAUCUGAAAUCUCCAAGACCUGCUGUGGCCAAUCCAAUUGGAAUGAUCUAGGAUGGAGCAAAAAUUUCUCCAAAAGCAUCAGGGGGAAUGAUUAGCCCAGAUUUGCUAAUGAGAAUUCAGUAAGAACAAGAAGCAGAAUCAAGCUGAACUGACUGAAUAAACUGCCUGGUUUUAUAGACA
Molecule: long non-coding RNA, 762 nt
Organism: Suricata suricatta (meerkat)
Lineage: Eukaryota; Metazoa; Chordata; Mammalia; Carnivora; Herpestidae
Exons: 2
Source: RefSeq, a predicted model, not a curated record